CCAAGUAGGCGGUUGUGGCCCGCGGGAGAGGCAGGGCGGGGGGCCAACAGGGCUUCGGGGGCGAGAGAGGGCGGUGGAGGCGGCGAGGGGGGUAGGUGCGGCGGGUGCGGAGAGGGCGGGUGUGCGACGGUUCGGAAGCGUAGAGGCGUUCCGUAUAUGGAAGGCACGAGCGAGCGAGCGAACGAAAGGGAAGGAAGAACAAGGGUUAAAGCGGUCGGCGCUGCGAGAAAGCGGUAAGGUAACCUAGAGCCAGUCGGCCGGCCUACGAGUCCUAAUUAUCUCCACCGUAACUUAUAAGACAAUAGAUUUGAAACAUGGUUUAUUUAUCCAGGUUGUUCUGGAAACUACGGGAAAAGAUGAGGUAAAAUGUUACAGGAAUAUAAGAAAAACGACACCAUUGAAGGUCGUUGAUUCCUUGAGUUAUCCUGUGUAAACAUCAUAGUCUAAAGAGUUCAUAGUGUCGUCUUAUUCGAGACUUUUACAUGAAGUCUUGUCUUCUGUAUUUUGAUCUGGAAAAUCACGUUGUCAUGAUCGCUCUUUACGUCCUUUUCCUUCAUUCGUUAAGAAGUCGUUACUGGCGGUAGAUGUGCCACCUAGUCAACUUAGUAGCUAACUUCACAAGUUCGUCAGACUAGACGUCGUGGACUUUAGUGAGGUCACGAUGCUAUAAGUCCUUUUCCAAAGACCUCCGUUCUGGCUGACGGGACGUUGAUAGGAACAGAAACUAUAACUUUGAUGACCGAAGAGUGCGGCACCACUAUCUUAAUAACUCAAACGACGUGCACUAGAAUACCCACCUUUCUUAUCGUGAAAAGUCUGGGAAUAUUUAGGACUCUCUCUCCAUUUUUUGCGUCGACAAGUACCAUAGUCGUGGUUCUACCAAACGUCAAGACUAUAGGGUUCUAAACCCCUCAAAUAGGGGUAAGAUGAUGUUAUGCAAACCUCAGCAGUUCAACGACCAUUUGGUCAAUACACCCAACGAGUAUUGCCCUUUUGGAAACUACACGGGAAAGAGUAGAAACUCAAGGUUGCAACGUUUGUUCUCUACGGACGACUGACCGACAAACACCUGUGCGAAGGAUAACGUUCUGUCAAUCAACUAAGGCUACCCCUUUUUUAGUCGAGGCGCAGCUACUUCUGUGACCAUCUCGCGAUGUUCUAGGGUCAGCUACCGUUUCGCGUGGCACGUUACGUACUACACUGACGGGACACAAUACAUGAGGUCUUCAACUGCAAGCUCAACUUUGAUUGGCAAGGCGUCGAGGAACUCUUCAGCAAGGCCCAGAGACUAUAGUGCUGCUGUGGGGGAUUUUUUACUGACGAUUGUGGGAGUGGACUUCUUAUAGAUCUUUGACACCUAAUAAAGUAACCGUAACAUAAUGUCUCGGACAAUAAACGUCUGGAAUCGAGACUAAAGGACGACAAAGUUGUUGUCUUGUUGUUAUGGAAUGAAUAACAAUGUAACUAUAAAACCAGUCAUCAAGUCACGAGUUAUAAUGACUAUGAACGACCGGGACAUGUGGUAGACUUGGUAAUAUACGUGCUACGAUUUAAGUCUCGACGCCGUAUCUAAGACACACCACAGGUUGCCACUGGCUUACGUCACGAGAAAUGACAAGGAAGUCCUUGCGAGAUUUGCUUUACUUCGAUGACAUGAAAAAUCGUCAUUGACCCUCUUUUCAGCCAAGAUGGGAACAACUCAACUCGUACGCGACGU
RNAcentral lists this ribosomal RNA (1717 nucleotides) under Triticum aestivum (bread wheat). RNAcentral's name for it is "partial small subunit ribosomal RNA". Lineage: Eukaryota; Viridiplantae; Streptophyta; Magnoliopsida; Poales; Poaceae. The record is from RNAcentral.